CGCUGGAUGAGGCGUGGCAGGCCCACACCCCACGAAACGGCGUUGCGCUCUUGAGUUGGACCGCUGGUCCUUUUGUAACAUCGUACUUAGACCUUGGUCCAGAAUUUUUGCGUUUAUUACUGCUAGAGAUUAGCUGAAGCCUGAGAGAGUGGUGGAUUGCUCCGGGAACCGGUCGCGGCGUCGGCGGCGAUGGAGGCCUGCAGGAUCGACGAUUUCCCUACGGAUGUGGUUGCCAAUCUUCCAGGGGGCACCGCGGCCCGCAGAUCCCUGUCAAGAUAAGGGGAGCGAGAUUGGGAGAAGAGACGGGGAUGUGCUACGGGAUUCAUCUGUGACCGCGCACAACAACGGCGCGGAGCCCGACGACGACGGGAGCAAGGGAUAUGGUCCAACGGAGUCUGGGAGUCGACCGUCAACCGGGAUAUGCGGUCGCCCGGCUGAAUUAAGAGGUAGAGUACGUGGAUCAAUCUCUGAAUUUUUACCCCUCGCAGAGCAUUUUACCUGCUGUCCUCUUUCAGGUAGUCUCCAUGUUUGUAAAUUAGUAUGCCUGAAUUAGUAAAAUCAGGGGUCCUCUGUGUGUGUAUUACCAGAAGAGAAUAAAUUCGUCACUGCGUAAAAAAGGUUGAUUAUUUGACCAAUUGAAGAGUGUGACCGUGGAUUGCUUCUCUAUUAAACAGAAUUGGAUCGAUGUGGACCUGCGGUUGCGUGUUCUUUUAACUGCCACACAGGUAAAAAGAUUUCAGUUAGGGGUGCUUUAUCGUUCUCCAUGCCCGGCUGCGUUGCCGGCGUGGAGGAGGUUGCUGGUGGUUUGGUUGCCUUCUGCCACCUAGGUUCAUCAUGGUGCGGUCAGUCUGACCAUUCAACUUUUUUGUUUUGCAUUUACUAGAGGAGAUUACUGGAUAAAGUUUGUUGGAACAAAAAAAUGUGAGACAAUCAAAAGUGUUUGGGUCCAAAUUUGUGUCUGAAUCUAUGGGUGCGUUAUCUUUCAUGCCGAAAGAAUGCCGCCCAGGUAGGAUUGGAGCCCUCGAAAAAUCAAUAAGGGGCUUUGCGGAGCGAGACGAAGAUGAGGUUAUUAAGCUAGAGUUAGGCACCACAGCUUCGAAUGGGUUUUCAUGGAAUUUGUCAGGAUGAUGGGAGGUGUGGCACCGAAAGACCAUAUCGAAAGAUCAGUGCAGAGCUAUGGAGGUUGAAAUAAGAAGCACACUACCGGAUACAGUGCAUCGAUGGUGUAAGUGGCACGUCUUGAAGAAGUCUAAAGAAAGUUUGGGGGCUGUGUACGGGAAGAGAAAUGAAUUUAGGCAAGAGGUUCAUAGAGUGGUUAACCACAUGCUAAUAGUGGACGAGUUUGAGAAAGCGUGGGCUCACCUACUAGAGAAGUAGUACAACCUGAGGACACACACAUACAUGACGCAACUCUUUGAGACAAGGGAGAAGUGGGCUAAGCCAUGUUUGAAGGGUGUUUUCUGUGCAAAGAUGAACAGACCCAAAGGAGUGAAAGUGUGAACCAUAUGCUUAUGAACUUGUGCCACCCGGCUCUCCGAUGUAUACACUUUUGAGGCAGUACAUGAGGUUGCAGUUUGAGCGCCAAUCGAAUGAGACUUAUGAAGUGAAGAGAACUAAAAUCGCACGUGUAGUCCUAGGGACAAAUUCCUCGAUUGAGAUACAAGCCAACAAGGAAUGCACCCGUGCAACGUUCAAGCAGUUUGAAAUCCUAUACGAUUGGCGAACCAUAAGGAAAAAUGGAGCAGGGACGUAUUCCUAGUGAAAAUGAUUGACGACGGAGCAUGUUUUGAGAGAGAAUAUGUCCUCUUUGAACAUAUGGGGAUGCUCUGUCGUCAUGUUCUGAAGGUCAUGGAUAAUAUUGGGAUGAAAGAAAAUACAAAGAGACACAUAGUGAAAAGGCGGACAAAAUAUCCAAGAGAUAUUUUGCCAGAUCACUUGAAGCACUACCGGCUGGACCAGAUCAACAACACAUCCCUAACUUUUCGGCACAACCGGAUGUACAUUAGGGCGUUGGAACUGGUUCGACUUGGAGACGCAAGUGUUGAGGCAUAUCAAACUCUGAUGGGGCUUUUAGACCAGGCCAUGCCGGUGAUGGACCCUUUUGACAAAUGUCGUGACAGGCUAGGGCUUGGAAGACCGUGGAUAACAACAAUGUGGCAGAUACCGACGGGGAGUGAGCUGGGAGAAGUGUGUGAAGACGACAGAAUGUCAUGCAGCAUGAAGUUUUGGAUUAGUGGCACCAAGCAAGAACGGAAACGCUGGCAGAUCAGCAAUGCCUGAGACAAGGCGUCAUAUGACGGGAUGACCAAGAGAAGUAGGUUUUGCAGCAUUUGCAAAUCCCAGUGCCACAAAAGAACAACUUCACCGGAGAGAGGGGAUAUUCCGCAACCGAGGAAGAAAUCCAAAUGCAGUAAAUGCAGUGGUGAAGGGCAUAGGAAGAAUACUUACGAACGGCAAGCAAGGGAGAUGAAGUGAGUUGAAAGCUGGUAGUGUCAAGUGUGCUAAUUAAGUUUUUAGUUUGAAAACCGACGUGUGGCUGUGUUUCAGCUUGUGGUUAUGGUGUUUUUUUUUUCUUUCUAAUUGUGCUAUAGGAAACUGACAUGUCAAACUGCUCCUUCUUGUUGGCUGGUGCUGUGUCUGAAGCAUGGAUGGUUGGUGUAGCUUGUAGCCUAUGAAUUCAAAGGUUGAAUGAUCAAAGCUGUUGGACUGGUGAAGUCCCCAGCGCAAUAAAUUUCUCUAUUCUGGCUUCCA
This is a long non-coding RNA of Triticum aestivum (bread wheat), 2751 nucleotides long. RefSeq lists it as uncharacterized. The record is from RefSeq and is a predicted model, not a curated record. The transcript is spliced from 5 exons. NCBI's taxonomy places the organism in Eukaryota, Viridiplantae, Streptophyta, Magnoliopsida, Poales, Poaceae.